Molecule: ribosomal RNA, 440 nt
Filed under: uncultured bacterium
Lineage: Bacteria
Description: bacterial SSU rRNA
Rfam family: Bacterial small subunit ribosomal RNA
Source: RNAcentral
CUACGGGAGGCAGCAGUGGGGAAUAUUGGACACUGGGGGAAACCCUGAUCCAGCCAUGCCGCGUGAGUGAAGAAGGCCUUAGGGUUGUAAAGCUCUUUCACCUGCGACGAUGAUGACGGUAGCAGGAGAAGAAGCCCCGGCUAACUUCGUGCCAGCAGCCGCGGUAAUACGAAGGGGGCUAGCGUUGUUCGGAAUAACUGGGCGUAAAGCGCGCGUAGGCGGGCUGUUAAGUCAGGGGUGAAAUCCCGGGGCUCAACCCCGGAACUGCCUUCGAUACUGGCAGCCUAGAGUUCGAGAGAGGUGAGUGGAAUUCCGAGUGUAGAGGUGAAAUUCGUAGAUAUUCGGAGGAACACCAGUGGCGAAGGCGGCUCACUGGCUCGAUACUGACGCUGAGGUGCGAAAGCGUGGGGAGCAAACAGGAUUAGAUACCCGUGUAGUCC